UACAGAGGGUGCGAGCGUUAAUCGGAAUUACUGGGCGUAAAGCGUGCGUAGACGGUAAUGUAAGUCGGGUGUGAAAGCCCCGGGCUCAACCUGGGAAUUGCAUUCGAGACUGCAUUGCUAGGGUGCGGAAGAGGGAAGCGGAAUUUCCGGUGUAGCGGUGAAAUGCGUAGAUAUCGGAAGGAACACCAGUGGCGAAAGCGGCUUCCUGGUCCGACACCGACGUUCAGGCACGAAAGCGUGGGGAGCAAACAGG
Molecule: ribosomal RNA, 253 nt
Filed under: uncultured bacterium
Lineage: Bacteria
Description: partial 16S ribosomal RNA
Rfam family: Bacterial small subunit ribosomal RNA
Source: RNAcentral